CCGCAGCUAAUUAAGCCGGCCGUGACCCCCCCUGCCAUGGGGCCCCGGCGUGCAAUGGCUGCGCACAGCACCCCCCCGGCUGUGUAGGGCCCCCCGCGUGCCCAUCGCUGGGUGCCCCAAGGGGCCGGGGGCACACAC
Molecule: small nucleolar RNA, 138 nt
Organism: Grus americana (Whooping crane)
Lineage: Eukaryota; Metazoa; Chordata; Aves; Gruiformes; Gruidae
Product: small nucleolar RNA SNORA70
Exons: 1
Source: RefSeq, a predicted model, not a curated record